CUGAGAUCCAACGGCCACCCGCGGAUCUAGCCUGAACAAAAACAGGUUCACAACGCCAGCGGGGGGAAACCCUAGUUCAUUCGCCCCCAGCCCCCACGCCUCUCCCUGCAUCUCUCGCUCCGUGAUGGCGGAGCCAAGGAGCUUUGCUCCGGCCGCCCGGUCCGGCCGCCGGCGUCGGCUGCCACCGCGCCGCGCGCGUCUACUCUCCCUUCCCUUUCCCUUCUUCUUUCUUUUCCUCUGUCCUGUCGGGGAAAAAGGGCAGCGCCCUUCUUGGCUGCUCCGGCCGCCGGUGACGGCGGCGAGAGCCACCGUGCCCCGCUGUGCUCUCCUUUUCCCUUCCCCCUUCUCUCACCCAUCCACCACCUCCUCCUUCCUGCAGAAAAAGAGAGACCCGAGAGGUCCCGCGCCAUCAAACGCAGCGCCCCCGCUGACCCCUUUGUCGGCGUGCGCGAGCACCACGAGGGUAAACGCGCCGCCGUCAAACGGCUUGGUGGUGGUGCUCUUUGCCCCUGAAAAGGGGUGGUGUUCUUCUUCUCGAUGCCUCGGCUUGCCGAUGCGCAUCGAGAUCAAGAGGAACGGCGUGGCCUUGCGGCGGCGCUACUUUUUUCGUUUCUGUGAAGGAUUCGUUCUUUGCCCUGUCUAGGGUUCUUGGGGGAGGGGAUCUCUUUUUCUUUUUCUGUUUUUGUUUCUUUGUACCAAAAUCAUCUAGCCAGUGGCAUCUGAUACCAUUGAUAUAUCCUUUGGAUCGGGGUAGGCUAGAUCAUCCGGUAAGCAUACCUUCUUUGGGUGCGGAUGAGCUCGAUCCAGCGCCGGCCAUGGUGAAGUAGGGGCCGGUUAUAGCAGAGAGAUCGAGAUGGAGAGGUGGCAGUGGUGCUUCCCGUGAGCACUGUGAUUGCCCUAGAUCGGAAGGGAUUUCGGUGGGGAGUCUGGCGGCGCGGUUAACCUCGUACCGUGUGCCCCGGCCCCCACCUCUAUAUAUCGCAGGUCACAGGGGCCCACCAGCCAUAAGAGGGUUCGGCGCCCCCGAUCAGGGCGGGAAUAGAUCAGGGCCCGAUGGGCCGUUGAGCCCGCUCGGUGGAGAGAUCAACCUAACAUUCCCGACGUUACUGCGACGAAGCUCCGAACUUGUUGGUACGCAGUGGCAGCACACUCUCCGCAACGAUGACCCAUGAUCUCUGUAUUUGUAAGUCGCCGCAUGGAGUGGAAGGCAUAUAUGCGGUCCAUGCAUAUGCCUGCAGUGGAUCUGCCCAACACACAUAUGUUCAUGCACCACGAUAUUCAGAUUGCAAAACUAUUUCGUUUAUGGCUUUUGAAUGACAAAGCACUUGCUCGUGGUGUAAGAUUGAAUUGUGCUAUGACUUUAUGCGUUAUGCUUUCAAAUAUUGUAUGUAUUCAAUUGGUGUGAGCUCGUAAACUAUAAUCGACACUGUCUAUUCCUGUUGUGCGUGUUGAAUAACUCAACCAUUUGUGUGCAAGAA
Molecule: long non-coding RNA, 1478 nt
Organism: Triticum aestivum (bread wheat)
Lineage: Eukaryota; Viridiplantae; Streptophyta; Magnoliopsida; Poales; Poaceae
Exons: 2
Source: RefSeq, a predicted model, not a curated record